GAUGAACGCUGGCGGCGUGCCUAAUACAUGCAAGUCGAGCGAACAGACGAGGAGCUUGCUCCUCUGACGUUAGCGGCGGACGGGUGAGUAACACGUGGAUAACCUACCUAUAAGACUGGGAUAACUUCGGGAAACCGGAGCUAAUACCGGAUAAUAUAUUGAACCGCAUGGUUCAAUAGUGAAAGACUGUUUUGCUGUCACUUAUAGAUGGCUCCGCGCCGCAUUAGCUAGUUGGUAAGGUAACGGCUUACCAAGGCAACGAUGCGUAGCCGACCUGAGAGGGUGAUCGGCCACACUGGAACUGAGACACGGUCCAGACUCCUACGGGAGGCAGCAGUAGGGAAUCUUCCGCAAUGGGCGAAAGCCUGACGGAGCAACGCCGCGUGAGUGAUGAAGGUCUUCGGAUCGUAAAACUCUGUUAUUAGGGAAGAACAAAUGUGUAAGUAACUAUGCACGUCUUGACGGUACCUAAUCAGAAAGCCACGGCUAACUACGUG
RNAcentral lists this ribosomal RNA (497 nucleotides) under uncultured bacterium. RNAcentral's name for it is "partial 16S ribosomal RNA". It matches the Rfam family "Bacterial small subunit ribosomal RNA", at positions 28 to 507 of the family's 1533-position model. The record is from RNAcentral.